UCUGGUUGAUUCUGCCAGUAGUCAUAUGCUUGUCUCAAAGAUUAAGCCAUGCAUGUCUAAGUAUAAGCAAUUAUACAGCGAAACUGCGAAUGGCUCAUUAUAUAAGUUAUCGUUUAUUUGAUAGUACCUUACUACUUGGAUAACCGUGGUAAUUCUAGAGCUAAUACAUGCUGAAAAUCCCGACUUCGGAAGGGAGGUAUUUAUUAGAUUAAAAACCAAUGCCCUCUGGGCUCCUUGGUGAUUCAUAAUAACUUUUCGAAUCGCACGGCCUUGCGCCGGCGAUGGUUCAUUCAAAUUUCUUCCCUAUCAACUUUCGAUGUUUGGGUAUUGGCCAAACAUGGUCGCAACGGGUAACGGAGGGUUAGGGCUCGACCCCGGAGAAGGAGCCUGAGAAACGGCUACUACAUCCAAGGAAGGCAGCAGGCGCGCAAAUUACCCAAUCCCGAUUCGGGGAGGUAGUGACAAUAAAUACUGAUACAGGGCUCUUUUGGGUCUUGUAAUUGGAAUGAGUACAAUUUAAAUCUCUUAACGAGGAACAAUUGGAGGGCAAGUCUGGUGCCAGCAGCCGCGGUAAUUCCAGCUCCAAUAGCGUAUAUUAAAGUUGUUGUGGUUAAAAAGCUCGUAGUUGAACCUUGGGCCUGGCUGGCCGGUCCGCCUCACCGCGUGUACUGGUCCGGCCGGGCCUUUCCCUCUGUGGAACCUCAUGCCCUUCACUGGGUGUGGCGGGGAAACAGGACUUUUACUUUGAAAAAAUUAGAGUGCUCCAGGCAGGCCUAUGCUCGAAUACAUUAGCAUGGAAUAAUAAAAUAGGACGCGUGGUUCUAUUUUGUUGGUUUCUAGGACCGCCGUAAUGAUUAAUAGGGACAGUCGGGGGCAUCAGUAUUCAAUUGUCAGAGGUGAAAUUCUUAGAUUUAUUGAAGACUAACUACUGCGAAAGCAUUUGCCAAGGAUGUUUUCAUUAAUCAGGAACGAAAGUUAGGGGAUCGAAGACGAUCAGAUACCGUCGUAGUCUUAACCAUAAACUAUGCCGACUAGGGAUCGGACGAUGUUAUUUUUUGACGCGUUCGGCACCUUACGAGAAAUCAAAGUGCUUGGGCUCCAGGGGGAGUAUGGUCGCAAGGCUGAAACUUAAAGAAAUUGACGGAAGGGCACCACCAGGGGUGGAGCCUGCGGCUUAAUUUGACUCAACACGGGGAAACUCACCAGGUCCAGACACAAUGAGGAUUGACAGAUUGAGAGCUCUUUCUUGAUUUUGUGGGUGGUGGUGCAUGGCCGUUCUUAGUUGGUGGAGUGAUUUGUCUGCUUAAUUGCGAUAACGAACGAGACCUUAACCUGCUAAAUAGCCUGUAUUGCUUUGGCAGUACGCCGGCUUCUUAGAGGGACUAUCGGCUCAAGCCGAUGGAAGUUUGAGGCAAUAACAGGUUGACCUACACAGGCCUGUCACAGUGGUCCUCACUAAAAUAUCCGCUAGUCGAGCGCAUUCACCUCUGUUGGGAAAGCUCCCUUUUACUGGGCAGAGGAGACGGCCGCCGCCGUCUUUGCGUCGGCGACACUACCUGGUACAGGGGACGCCUGAAAGGGCCGAUCCUGUGGCGAGCUCGGGUCGCGCCGAGCCGUCGCAACGCACGCUAAGGAGUGGGCUAGGAAACUAGCUUAAGGUACGUGCUAAUCCCACGGGCAACCGUGCUCGAUCGAAUAGGCCCAGUAAGCCGAAGCGAUCGGGGCUCUUGGGUAGUUC
RNAcentral lists this ribosomal RNA (1738 nucleotides) under Beauveria bassiana. RNAcentral describes it as "SSU rRNA". It matches the Rfam family "Eukaryotic small subunit ribosomal RNA", at positions 1 to 1559 of the family's 1831-position model. The record is from RNAcentral. Lineage: Eukaryota; Fungi; Ascomycota; Sordariomycetes; Hypocreales; Cordycipitaceae.